GACAGGGGGCUCGAGCGUUAAUCGGAAUCACUGGGCUUAAAGGGUGCGUAGGCGGGCCAGUAAGCGCUUUGUGAAAUCCCACGGCUCAACCGUGGAACCGCAGGGCGAACUGCUGGUCUUGAGGAAGCUAGAGGCGGGUAGAACGAUAGGUGGAGCGGUGGAAUGCGUAGAGAUCUAUCGGAAUGCCGAAAGUGAAGACAGCCCGCUGGGGCUUUCCUGACGCUAAAGCACGAAAGCGUGGGGAGCAAACCGG
Molecule: ribosomal RNA, 253 nt
Filed under: uncultured bacterium
Lineage: Bacteria
Description: partial 16S ribosomal RNA
Rfam family: Bacterial small subunit ribosomal RNA
Source: RNAcentral